RNAcentral lists this transfer RNA (68 nucleotides) under Molannodes epaphos. Its description in RNAcentral is "tRNA-Leu". The record is from RNAcentral. Lineage: Eukaryota; Metazoa; Arthropoda; Insecta; Trichoptera; Molannidae.
UCUAAAAUGGCAGAAUUCAUGCCUUGGACUUAAACCCCAAUCAUAAAGAUUUCAAUCUUUUUUUAGAA